CAUAGCGACUAUCGUGGCAUAUCAAUAAGCGGAGGAAAAGAAACUAACAAGGAUUCCCCUAGUAACGGCGAGUGAAGCGGGAAGAGCUCAAAUUUGAAAUCUUAAAGGGUUUCCCUUUACGAAUUGUAGUUUAAAGAAGUGUUUUCUGUUGGAGUUUCGGUAAAAGUUCUUUGGAAUAGGACAUCAUAGAGGGUGAGAAUCCCGUAUUUGACCGUUACUUUCCAGCUGUGUGAUACACUUUCAAAGAGUCGGAUUGUUUGGGAAUGCAGUCCAAGAUGGGUGGUAAAUUUCAUCUAAAGCUAAAUAUUGGCGAGAGACCGAUAGCGAACAAGUACCGUGAGGGAAAGAUGAAAAGAACUUUGAAAAGAGAGUUAAACAGUACGUGAAAUUGUCAAAAGGGAAGCGUUUGACACCAGUGUUGUUUAGUUGAAAAUCAAUUCAAUAGUUUUUGAUUCUAAGUAGUAUUGACUUCAUCAGCUUGCUGCUUUCUUCUCAGAAAUUAUUGAAUGCACUUUUCAGUUAACAAGUCAACAUCAAUUUCUUUUGUUGUAAAAGGGUAAGAGGAAGGUGGCUUGCGCUUCGGCUCAAGUGUUUAUAGCCUUUUAUCUCUGCAAUCGGAGAGAUUGAGGUCUGCAGCGUAGAUCCUUCGGGGUUAGAUACAUUGGUGCUAAGCUAUAGCCUUGUAUAGACAACUUGUUGACUAUGCUCAGUCAUGUAGCUUACUCGCUUGAUGCUAUUUUACCUACGCUUAGGAUGUUGACGCGCGUGUGUGCGUG
Molecule: ribosomal RNA, 776 nt
Filed under: uncultured Neocallimastigales
Lineage: Eukaryota; Fungi; Neocallimastigomycota; Neocallimastigomycetes; Neocallimastigales
Description: partial large subunit ribosomal RNA
Rfam family: Eukaryotic large subunit ribosomal RNA
Source: RNAcentral